GCCUGGGUGGCUCAGUGGUUGAGCGUCUGCCUUUGGCUCAGGGCGUGAUCCCCAGAUCUGGGAUCAAGUCCCACAUCAGGCU
Molecule: transfer RNA, 82 nt
Filed under: Canis lupus familiaris (dog)
Lineage: Eukaryota; Metazoa; Chordata; Mammalia; Carnivora; Canidae
Also listed under: 1 other name
Rfam family: tRNA
About the family: Transfer RNA (tRNA) molecules are approximately 80 nucleotides in length.
Source: Rfam by way of RNAcentral